CUAACUUUGUGGAGCUGGUCAAAACUCUGCUCGAAGACCCUUCUGAGAAGAAGCACUUCUUCCAGGUGGGAAAUAUCAUAAUGAAUCAUAGUUGUUGCUUUCAGAGUCAAUAGGACAGCAUGUUCCAGCAAUGUAAAACUCAGUAGUGAAAUGUUGCUUGUUUUACUGUAACUGAUGAAAAGCCAUACAGAAUGAAAAAUCCAGCAAGGUGUUGGUUUCAACUACACAUGUUUUUAUUUUUCUCUCUCAGGUGGUGUUCCCAAUACGUUACGGCCCUCGGUAUGACACAGCACUGCAGAUACUGGUGUGGGAGUUUCUCUCCCGACUGGAGGACCUGCUGCCUGUACCAGACCUCACAGAGACAGCAUCUUGUCUCAGCCUUGCCCCCGCUGACCUGGAGGAGUUCUGGCAUUCUGUCUCUGACCCCG
This 428-nucleotide long non-coding RNA is filed under the name Salmo trutta (river trout). RNAcentral describes it as "lncRNA (ENSSTUG00000043658.1)". The record is from RNAcentral. Lineage: Eukaryota; Metazoa; Chordata; Actinopteri; Salmoniformes; Salmonidae.